This 460-nucleotide ribosomal RNA is filed under the name uncultured bacterium. RNAcentral describes it as "partial 16S ribosomal RNA". It matches the Rfam family "Bacterial small subunit ribosomal RNA", at positions 338 to 795 of the family's 1533-position model. The record is from RNAcentral.
CCUACGGGAGGCAGCAGUGAGGAAUAUUGGUCAAUGGGCGCUAGCCUGAACCAGCCAAGCAGCGUGAAGGAUGACUGCCCUUCGGGUUGUAAACUUCUUUUAUAUGGGAAUAAAGUGCAGUAUGUAUACUGCUUUGCAUGUACCUGAUGAAAAAGGAUCGGCUAACUCCGUGCCAGCAGCCGCGGUAAUACGGAGGAUUCGAGCGUUAUCCGGAUUUGUUGGGUUGAAAGGGAGCGUAGGCGGGUUGGUAAGUAAGUGGUGAAAGUUUGCGGCUCAACCGUAAGAUUGCAGUUGAUACUGGCAUCCUUGAGUACAGUAGAGGUAGGCGGAAUUCGCGGUGUAGCGGUGAAAUGCUUAGAUAUCGCGAAGAACUCCGAUUGCGAAGGCAGCCUGCUGGACUGUAACUGACGCUGAUGCUCGAAAGUGUGGGUAUCGAACAGGAUUAGAUACCCGAGUAGUC